UAUACAUUUAAAUUUCUUUAUUAAUUUCUUAUAUAUAAUUUAUAUUAAAUAUAAAAAUAUAUUUUUUAAAUAAAAAGACGAUAAGACCCUAUUAAAUUUUACUUAUAGUUUAACUGGGGAAGUUUUAAAAAUAAAAUUUUUUAUAAAAAUAAAAAUAAAUCUAAUAAAAUUAAAAUUAAAUUAAAUUACUAUAGGGAUAACAGCAUUAUAUUUUUUAAAAGUUCAUAUUAAAAAAAAUGAUUGUGACCUCGAUGUUGAAUUAUAUUUUCUUUAUUAAUGCAAUAAUUAUAAAAGUAGAUCUGUUCGAUCUUUAAAAUAUUACAUGAUUUGAGUUCAAACCGGUGUAAACCAGGUUGGUUUCUAUCUUUUUAUAAAUUCAUAUAUAUAUAUAUAUAUAUACAUAAAUUUUUCAAGUACGAAAGGAAAAAAAAAUUUUUAUUUUAAUUAAUUAGCAAUUAAUAUGCAUUAGAUUUAGAAUCUAAAUAAACUAUUAUU
This 495-nucleotide unclassified non-coding RNA is filed under the name Anelosimus eximius. Its description in RNAcentral is "partial contains 16S ribosomal RNA and tRNA-Leu (trnL)". The stretch from base 72 to 369 matches the Rfam family "Bacterial large subunit ribosomal RNA", at positions 2074 to 2646 of the family's 2925-position model. Lineage: Eukaryota; Metazoa; Arthropoda; Arachnida; Araneae; Theridiidae. The record is from RNAcentral.